AACGCACCUUGCGCUCCCUGGUAUUCCGGGGAGCACGCCUGUUCGAGUGUCGUGAAUACCUCAAGCCGGAUGCUUUAUUGCUAUCUUAGGCUUGGACUUGGACCUUGCCGCAAGCCUUCAGUGGUGACGGCUGGUCCUAAAUACAUUAGCUGACCCAUGUUUUGUACACUUGGUUCUACUCGGCGUGAUAAGUUCAUGACCGUCGAGGACAUCCGCGCCCACAAAGCGAGGGUGGCCGAGAGUGCCUUGGAUCGCUUCUAAUCGUCUUCACCGACAACAUUUUUCAACUUUGACCUCGAAUCAGGCGGGACUACCCGCUGAACUUAA
This 327-nucleotide ribosomal RNA is filed under the name uncultured fungus. Its description in RNAcentral is "eukaryotic LSU rRNA". Lineage: Eukaryota; Fungi. The record is from RNAcentral.